CCUACGGGAGGCAGCAGUGAGGAAUAUUGGUCAAUGGAGGCAACUCUGAACCAGCCAUGCCGCGUGCAGGAUGACGGUCCUAUGGAUUGUAAACUGCUUUUGUACAGGAAGAAACCUCCCUACGAGUAGGGACUUGACGGUACUGUAAGAAUAAGGAUCGGCUAACUCCGUGCCAGCAGCCGCGGUAAUACGGAGGAUCCGAGCGUUAUCCGGAAUUAUUGGGUUUAAAGGGUUCGUAGGCGGCUUUGUAAGUCAGUGGUGAAAUUUCCUAGCUUAACUAGGACACUGCCAUUGAUACUGCAGAGCUUGAAUAAUAUGGAAGUAACUAGAAUAUGUAGUGUAGCGGUGAAAUGCUUAGAUAUUACAUGGAAUACCAAUUGCGGAGGCAGGUUACUACGUAUUUAUUGACGCUGAUGAACGAAAGCGUGGGGAGCGGAACAGGAUUAGAUACCCUGGUAGUCCACGCCGUAAACGAUGGAUACUAGCUGUUCGGUUUCGGUUACGUGUAGUGGUCGUAGUACGAAGUAGAGUAAGUAUACCACCGUACGGGUAGGUACGGUUACGUCGAAGAAGAGAAACGUACUAAAUAAGAAGUUAGUACGGACGUGAGACGUAGACCGACGGACGACGACGAGGGAGGAGGGAG
This 646-nucleotide ribosomal RNA is filed under the name uncultured bacterium. RNAcentral's name for it is "bacterial SSU rRNA". The stretch from base 1 to 543 matches the Rfam family "Bacterial small subunit ribosomal RNA", at positions 338 to 873 of the family's 1533-position model. The record is from RNAcentral.